AUGGUGACUAUCGUGGUCGCCGUUACCAUGACUGUCCUGCUCAUCGGAGCCGGGUUUCUGAUUUUCUUCUGUGUCCGUUUCCGAAAACCACGAAGUAGCCGGCAUGUCGCUGUCACCACCUCGUCCACACCUCCGCCAUCUGCGCCUUUACCUUCUGCGCCUCCGUCUUCUGCGCCUCCGCCUUAUGAGAACAUUUGCCCUUACGGACCCCCAGCAUCAUGGGUGAGUUUAUGCUCGCUCUUGGAGCCAUGACCAUGAGCCCAUACCAACAAAUAGGAAUUUGUUAAAUCCUCCAGGCAACUCUAUCAUACCCACUUAGCUCUCCACUACAGAGUUGCACUGGAGGACCUGCAGCUUCCCAGAGAGCACAUCUCUGGGAAUUUCUAGGUCCUCCAGAAUGAUUUGGUUGGAGAUUGAUCAUAGACUUGUGCCAGAGGACUUAGGAAUUCCUAGAGGGACACAUCUCCAGACACUAUUGGUCCUCUAGAAUGAUUCUAUUGGAAGUUGCCAUAAAGUUACACUGGAGGACAAGGAGCCUCCGGUGGCAUAGUGGAUUAAAGCCUUGUGACUUGAAGGUUGGGUUGCUGACCUGAAGGCUGCCUGGUUCGAAUCCAACCUGGGGAGAGCACGGAUGAGCUCCCUCUAUCAGCUCCAGCUCCAUGCAGGGAAAUGAGAGGAGCCUCCCACAAGGAUGGUAAAAACAUCAAAACAUCUGGGCAUCCCCUGGGCAACGUCCUUGCGGACGGCCAAUUCUCUCACACCAG
This 764-nucleotide long non-coding RNA is filed under the name Anolis carolinensis (green anole). Its description in RNAcentral is "lncRNA (ENSACAG00000039816.1)". Lineage: Eukaryota; Metazoa; Chordata; Lepidosauria; Squamata; Anolidae. The record is from RNAcentral.